CCUACGGGAGGCAGCAGUGGGGAAUAUUGCACAAUGGGGGAAACCCUGAUGCAGCGACGCCGCGUGAGUGAAGAAGUAUUUCGGUAUGUAAAGCUCUAGCAGCAGGGAAGAAAAUGACGGUACCUGAGUAAGAAGCCCCGGCUAACGACGUGCCAGCAGCCGCGGUAAUACGGAGGGGGCAAGCGUUAUCCGGAUUUACUGGGUGUAAAGGGAGCGUAGACGGCAGCACAAGUCUGGAGUGAAAUGCCGGGGCUUAACCCCGGAACUGCUUUGGAAACUGUGCAGCUAGCGUGCAGGAGAGGUAAGUGGCAUUCCUCGUGUAGCGGUGACCUGCGUCGAUAUUAGGAG
Molecule: ribosomal RNA, 348 nt
Filed under: uncultured bacterium
Lineage: Bacteria
Description: partial 16S ribosomal RNA
Rfam family: Bacterial small subunit ribosomal RNA
Source: RNAcentral